UACGUAGGGUGCAAGCGUUGUCCGGAAUUAUUGGGCGUAAAGAGCUCGUAGGCGGUCUGUCGCGUCGGCUGUGAAAACCUGGGGCUCAACCCCGGGCUUGCAGCCGAUACGGGCAGACUAGAAUUCGGUAGGGGAGACUGGAAUUCCUGGUGUAGCGGUGAAAUGCGCAGAUAUCAGGAGGAACACCGGUGGCGAAGGCGGGUCUCUGGGCCGAUACUGACGCUGAGACGCGAAAGCGUGGGGAGCGAACAGG
Molecule: ribosomal RNA, 253 nt
Filed under: uncultured bacterium
Lineage: Bacteria
Description: partial 16S ribosomal RNA
Rfam family: Bacterial small subunit ribosomal RNA
Source: RNAcentral